This 378-nucleotide ribosomal RNA is filed under the name uncultured Legionella sp. Its description in RNAcentral is "bacterial SSU rRNA". It matches the Rfam family "Bacterial small subunit ribosomal RNA", at positions 284 to 651 of the family's 1533-position model. Lineage: Bacteria; Pseudomonadati; Pseudomonadota; Gammaproteobacteria; Legionellales; Legionellaceae. The record is from RNAcentral.
UAGCUGGUCUGAGAGGAUGACCAGCCACACUGGAACUGAGACACGGUCCAGACUCCUACGGGAGGCAGCAGUGGGGAAUAUUGGACAAUGGGGGGAACCCUGAUCCAGCAAUGCCGCGUGUGUGAAGAAGGCCUGAGGGUUGUAAAGCACUUUCRUUGGGGAGGAGGGNUGAUAGGUUAAGAGCUAAUGANNUGGACGUUACCCAMAGAAGCAGCASCRCCGGCUAACUCCGUGCCAGCAGCCGCGGUAAUACGGAGGGUGCAAGCGUUAAUCGGAAUUACUGGGCGUAAAGGGUGCGUAGGUAGUUUUUUAAGAUAUCUGUGAAAUACCUGGGCUUAACCUGGGAAGGUCAGAUAAGACUGGAAGACUUGAGUAUAG